RNAcentral lists this ribosomal RNA (381 nucleotides) under uncultured Mycobacterium sp. RNAcentral describes it as "bacterial SSU rRNA". It matches the Rfam family "Bacterial small subunit ribosomal RNA", at positions 524 to 902 of the family's 1533-position model. Lineage: Bacteria; Bacillati; Actinomycetota; Actinomycetes; Mycobacteriales; Mycobacteriaceae. The record is from RNAcentral.
UACGUAGGGUGCGAGCGUUGUCCGGAAUUACUGGGCGUAAGGAGCUCGUAGGUGGUUUGUCGCGUUGUUCGUGAAAUCUCACGGCUUAACUGUGAGCGUGCGGGCGAUACGGGCAGACUAGAGUACUGCAGGGGAGACUGGAAUUCCUGGUGUAGCGGUGGAAUGCGCAGAUAUCAGGAGGAACACCGGUGGCGAAGGCGGGUCUCUGGGCAGUAACUGACGCUGAGGAGCGAAAGCGUGGGGAGCGAACAGGAUUAGAUACCCUGGUAGUCCACGCCGUAAACGGUGGGUACUAGGUGUGGGUUUCCUUCCUUGGGAUCCGUGCCGUAGCUAACGCAUUAAGUACCCCGCCUGGGGAGUACGGCCGCAAGGCUAAAACUC